Long non-coding RNA from Pipistrellus kuhlii (Kuhl's pipistrelle), 624 nucleotides. RefSeq lists it as uncharacterized. The record is from RefSeq and is a predicted model, not a curated record. The transcript has 3 exons. NCBI's taxonomy places the organism in Eukaryota, Metazoa, Chordata, Mammalia, Chiroptera, Vespertilionidae.
UGGCUAUCUCGAUGCGUCUGGCUCGGGUCAAGUACUUAUUGAAAUGAAACUCCUUCUCCAGUUCUGUCAGCUGCUUGGUGCUGAAAUUCGUGCGGAUCGCGCUGGAGGGGCUAGCGGCUCCACACUCGAUACUACUCUUCCAUGAAAACGAUCCAGACGAGCUAUGGGAACCAGUCAAGAUAUUUUGCCACAAGAUCUAGGACAAGAGUGCUUAACCAACAUCUCCCAUCUGGCAGAUCUCCCAGGGACCCUUCACCUGCUUCUGCUACUGCAAACAGUUGGACAUGCAUUUACCUUGGCCCUUUUUUCAAGUGUGGAAAUCUUUUGUUCACUGGACAUCCGGCUGCACUUGGCCUGAAAUUUCUGAAAGAAGGACCAAAGGAAUGCCAAGAACUCCCAGAGGAAGAAGACCUUUCUAGAUCUGUAACUGGGACGAACCAAGUCUUAACUUUGGGAGGAAGUUUCAACUCAUUCUCAGGAUAUGUCAAAGCAGGCCUGGGACUGCCCUUUGAAUCCUGAAGGUGGCAACAAGCUUCUGGCUUCCCCAGGUCAAGUAGAAGUUGGGUUCCUUCUUUGUUAUUCAAACAUACACCCACACACACAGCCCCUUCACCCUCCCUAAUG